RNAcentral lists this ribosomal RNA (468 nucleotides) under uncultured bacterium. RNAcentral's name for it is "partial 16S ribosomal RNA". It matches the Rfam family "Bacterial small subunit ribosomal RNA", at positions 28 to 507 of the family's 1533-position model. The record is from RNAcentral.
GACGAACGCUGGCGGCGUGCUUAACACAUGCAAGUCGAACGGAAAGGCCCUGCUUUUGUGGGGUGCUCGAGUGGCGAACGGGUGAGUAACACGUGAGUAACCUGCCCUUGACUUUGGGAUAACUUCAGGAAACUGGGGCUAAUACCGGAUAGGAGCUCCUGCUGCAUGGUGGGGGUUGGAAAGUUUCGGCGGUUGGGGAUGGACUCGCGGCUUACCAGCUUGUUGGUGGGGUAGUGGCUUACCAAGGCUUUGACGGGUAGCCGGCCUGGGAGGGUGACCGGGCACAUUGGGACUGCGAUACGGCCCAGACGCCUACGGGAGGCAGCAGUGGGGAAUAUUGCACAAUGGGCGGGAGCCUGAUGCAGCAACGCCGCGUGCGGGAUGACGGCCUUCGGGUUGUAAACCGCUUUCGCCUGUGACGAAGCGUGAGUGACGGUAAUGGGUAAAGAAGCACCGGCUAACUACGUG